GGCAAUAUGUAUUGCCUGACCAAACAUAGCCCUUAAACCAACCACCACUUGGAUAUUGAAAGAAUGAGGAUGUAUCACAUGUACUUCCGCCAAAGAUAUCAACCAAUGAGGUUAUACACAUAUCCUCAGUGAUUGAUAUAAUCUUGCAUCCAGUUCAUGUUAAGUUAUGGGCAUAGAAAACUCUAUAGUCCAUACAGCAUAUUUGCAGGCCAAUCUCAAAUUACACCACUAGCAAGGC
Molecule: long non-coding RNA, 238 nt
Filed under: Mytilus galloprovincialis (Mediterranean mussel)
Lineage: Eukaryota; Metazoa; Mollusca; Bivalvia; Mytilida; Mytilidae
Source: RNAcentral